This is a long non-coding RNA of Anguilla anguilla (European eel), 235 nucleotides long. RefSeq lists it as uncharacterized. The record is from RefSeq and is a predicted model, not a curated record. Lineage: Eukaryota; Metazoa; Chordata; Actinopteri; Anguilliformes; Anguillidae. The transcript is spliced from 3 exons.
GAAUGCUUCUGCUCUACUGGUCACAGUGCAAGAGCAGAGCCUUCAGAGAGUGACAAACGCAGCCAGCGACACAAACUCUGCGCUUCAGAGAGCUGACGAGGCCUCAGUGUGGGAUUAAAACACACAGAGGAGAGAAUCUGCAGAGAAUGAGAAAUGAUGGAGAUCAGGGUGAAAGAGUCUCUUUUUGUCUUUAACUUUACAGAACUGCUGUUUGUUUCUGCUAUCUUAUCCAUCU